GAUGAACGCUAGCUACAGGCUUAACACAUGCAAGUCGAGGGGUAGCAUGUUGGUUGCUUGCAACCGAUGAUGACGACCGGCGCACGGGUGAGUAACGCGUAUCCAACUUGGCUUAUACUUAGGGAUAACCCGUUGAAAGACGGCCUAAUACCUAAUGGUUUAUAAUAGUUGCAUGACUUUUAUAAUAAAGAUUUAUCGGUAUAAGAUAGGGAUGCGUCUGAUUAGUUAGUUGGUGAGGUAACGGCUCACCAAGGCAUCGAUCAGUAGGGGUUCUGAGAAGAAGGUCCCCCACAUUGGAACUGAGACACGGUCCAAACUCCUACGGGAGGCAGCAGUGAGGAAUAUUGGUCAAUGGACGUAAGUCUGAACCAGCCAAGUAGCGUGCAGGAUGACGGCCCUAUGGGUUGUAAACUGCUUUUAUGUGAGAAUAAAGUUAACUACGUGUAGUUAUUUGCAUGUAUCACAUGAAUAAGGACCGGCUAAUUCCGUGCCAGCAGCCGCGGUAAUACGGAAGGUCCAGGCGUUAUCCGGAUUUAUUGGGUUUAAAGGGAGCGUAGGCCGUUUGGUAAGCGUGCUGUGAAAUUUAGAGGCUCAACCUCUACCGUGCAGCGCGAACUGUCAGACUUGAGUGCGUAGUAGGUAGGCGGAAUUCGUGGUGUAGCGGUGAAAUGCUUAGAUAUCACGAAGAACUCCGAUUGCGAAGGCAGCUUACCGUAUCGCAACUGACGCUGAUGCUCGAAGGUGCGGGUAUCGAACAGGAUUAGAUACCCUGGUAGUCCGCACAGUAAACGAUGGAUGCUCGCUGUUGGCUUUUAUAGUCAGUGGCUUAGCGAAAGCGUUAAGCAUCCCACCUGGGGAGUACGCCGGCAACGGUGAAACUCAAAGGAAUUGACGGGGGCCCGCACAAGCGGAGGAACAUGUGGUUUAAUUCGAUGAUACGCGAGGAACCUUACCCGGGCUUGAACUGCAGGAGAACGAUUCAGAGAUGAUGAGGUCCUUCGGGACUCCUGUGGAGGUGCUGCAUGGUUGUCGUCAGCUCGUGCCGUGAGGUGUCGGCUUAAGUGCCAUAACGAGCGCAACCCCUUUUCUUAGUUGCCAUCGGGUGAUGCCGGGCACUCUGAGGAUACUGCCACCGUAAGGUGUGAGGAAGGUGGGGAUGACGUCAAAUCAGCACGGCCCUUACGUCCGGGGCUACACACGUGUUACAAUGGGGCAUACAGAGUGUUGGUUGCAUGUAAAUGUAAUCUAAUCUUUAAAGUGCUUCUCAGUUCGGACUGGGGUCUGCAACCCGACCCCACGAAGCUGGAUUCGCUAGUAAUCGCGCAUCAGCCAUGGCGCGGUGAAUACGUUCCCGGGCCU
Molecule: ribosomal RNA, 1359 nt
Filed under: uncultured bacterium
Lineage: Bacteria
Description: bacterial SSU rRNA
Rfam family: Bacterial small subunit ribosomal RNA
Source: RNAcentral